GGAGACGGAGCUGAAGACGUCGU
RNAcentral lists this small nuclear RNA (23 nucleotides) under Arabidopsis thaliana (thale cress). RNAcentral describes it as "snRNA_06005". Lineage: Eukaryota; Viridiplantae; Streptophyta; Magnoliopsida; Brassicales; Brassicaceae. The record is from RNAcentral.